CUCAGGAUGAACGCUGGCGGCGUGCCUAAUACAUGCAAGUCGAGCGAAUGGAUUAAGAGCUUGCUCUAUGAAGUUAGCGGCGGACGGGUGAGUAACACGUGGGUAACCUGCCCAUAAGACUGGGAUAACUCCGGGAAACCGGGGCUAAUACCGGAUAAUAUUUUGAACUGCAUGGUUCGAAAUUGAAAGGCGGCUUCGGCUGUCACUUAUGGAUGGACCCGCGUCGCAUUAGCUAGUUGGUGAGGUAACGGCUCACCAAGGCAACGAUGCGUAGCCGACCUGAGAGGGUGAUCGGCCACACUGGGACUGAGACACGGCCCAGACUCCUACGGGAGGCAGCAGUAGGGAAUCUUCCGCAAUGGACGAAAGUCUGACGGAGCAACGCCGCGUGAGUGAAUGAAGGCUUUCGGGUCGUAAAACUCUGUUGUUAGGGAAGAACAAGUGCUAGUUGAAUAAGCUGGCACCUUGACGGUACCUAACCAGAAAGCCACGGCUAACUACGUGCCAGCAGCCGC
RNAcentral lists this ribosomal RNA (515 nucleotides) under uncultured bacterium. Its description in RNAcentral is "bacterial SSU rRNA". It matches the Rfam family "Bacterial small subunit ribosomal RNA", at positions 23 to 518 of the family's 1533-position model. The record is from RNAcentral.